CAGGAUAUUCUUCAGUUUCAUGCAGCUCUUCUAGUCCGACUUACAGAAAAACAUUGUGUCAUCCGCAAAUAAUAAAUGGUUCACGCGGGGGAUUUCUUUUGCAACUUUGAUCCCUGGGAGACUGCCUUGUUCAUGUGCUCAAUUGCAUAAACCAGUAAGUACCUCACUGCACAGAAUGAAGACAUAAGGCGAUAGGGGGUCUCCUUGGCGAAUGCCUCUCUGGGGUGUGACUAAGCCCAGCGCUUGUCCAUUAAUCAGUGCAGGGUUUCAUGUGUGAUAAGCACAUUGUCUGAUAUAGCUCUUUGGGGGACGAAGGCUGAUUGAUUCUCAGAUAUGCACGACGAGAGGAUUGGUUGCAGUCUUUUGGUUUCCAGUGAUGAAGAAAGAUUGGACCUCGGCAACUAUUUCAUCACUCACUGUACUCCAGUUUGAUUGGAAAAAACAAGCUGAGAAGCCAUCCGGGCCCGGGGCUUUAUCAGGAUGUAUAUCAAAGCAUGCUUUUUUUAUUUCUUCGCUUGAAGGUAUCUCAAUCAGUUUUGCAUUCAUAUCCUCUGUUAUGCAGGGAGUUAGAGCCUCCUGUACCACUUUCCUUCGGUUUCCUUCCUGGGAGGUGAAGAUUUGUUGAUAAUAGUCAGUAAUUGCCUGGACUAUUUCAUUUUC
Molecule: non-coding RNA, 660 nt
Organism: Camelina sativa (false flax)
Lineage: Eukaryota; Viridiplantae; Streptophyta; Magnoliopsida; Brassicales; Brassicaceae
Source: RefSeq, a predicted model, not a curated record